RNAcentral lists this ribosomal RNA (462 nucleotides) under uncultured bacterium. RNAcentral describes it as "partial 16S ribosomal RNA". It matches the Rfam family "Bacterial small subunit ribosomal RNA", at positions 28 to 507 of the family's 1533-position model. The record is from RNAcentral.
GACGAACGCUGGCGGCGUGCUUAACACAUGCAAGUCGAACGGUGAAGCCCUUCGGGGCGGAUCAGUGGCGAACGGGUGAGUAACACGUGAGCAACCUGCCCCUGGCUCUGGGACAACCACUGGAAACGGUGGCUGAUACCGGAUACGACCCGCCUCGGCAUCGAGUGUGGGUGGAAAGUUUUUCGGCUGGGGAUGGGCUCGCGGCCUAUCAGCUUGUUGGUGAGGUGAAGGCUCACCAAGGCGACGACGGGUAGCCGGCCUGAGAGGGCGACCGGCCACACUGGGACUGAGACACGGCCCAGACUCCUACGGGAGGCAGCAGUGGGGAAUAUUGCACAAUGGGCGAAAGCCUGAUGCAGCGACGCCGCGUGAGGGAUGACGGCCUUCGGGUUGUAAACCUCUUUCAGCUCCGAAGAAGCGAAAGUGACGGUAGGAGCAGAAGAAGCACCGGCUAACUACGUG